RNAcentral lists this ribosomal RNA (250 nucleotides) under uncultured prokaryote. RNAcentral's name for it is "partial 16S rRNA". It matches the Rfam family "Bacterial small subunit ribosomal RNA", at positions 525 to 775 of the family's 1533-position model. The record is from RNAcentral.
ACGUAGGUGGCAAGCGUUAUCCGGAAUUAUUGGGAGUAAAGCGAGCGUAGGUGGUUAUAUAAGUCUGUUUUUAAAGCUCGGGGCUCAACCCCGAGAUGGAUUGGAAACUGUAUAACUUGAGUACAGUAGAGGUAAGCGGAAUUCCCAGUGUAGCGGUGAAAUGCGUAGAUAUUGGAAGGAACACCAGUGGCGAAGGCAGCUUACUGGGCUGUAACUGACACUGAGGCGCGAAAGCCAGGGGAGCAAACAG